CCUACGGGGGGCAGCAGUGGGGAAUAUUGCACAAUGGGGGAAACCCUGAUGCAGCAACGCCGCGUGAGUGAAGAAGGAUUUCGGUAUGUAAAGCUCUAUCAGCAGGGAAGAGAAGGACGGUACCUGACUAAGAAGCCCCGGCUAACGACGUGCCAGCAGCCGCGGUAAUACGUAGGGGGCGAGCGUUAUCCGGAUUUCCUGGGUGAAAAGGGAGCGUAGACGGUUCUGGAAGUCUGAAGUUCAAGCCCGUGGCUUACCCGCGGAACGGCUUUGGAAACUGUGGAACUGGAUUGCUGGAGAGUCAAGCGGAAUUCCUAGUGUAGCGGUGAACUGCGUAGAUAUUAGGCGGACCACCAGUGGCGACGGCGGCUUGCUGGACAGUACCUGACGUUGAGGCUCGAAAGCGUGGGGAGCAAACAGGAUUAGAUACCCGGGUAGUC
This 440-nucleotide ribosomal RNA is filed under the name uncultured bacterium. RNAcentral describes it as "partial 16S ribosomal RNA". It matches the Rfam family "Bacterial small subunit ribosomal RNA", at positions 338 to 795 of the family's 1533-position model. The record is from RNAcentral.